Molecule: long non-coding RNA, 1355 nt
Filed under: Sus scrofa (pig)
Lineage: Eukaryota; Metazoa; Chordata; Mammalia; Artiodactyla; Suidae
Description: lncRNA (ENSSSCG00015055942.1)
Source: RNAcentral
UUUUUUUUUUUUUUUUUUUUGGUGUGGUCUUUUUGCCUUUUCUUGGGCCGCUCCCGCGGCAUAUGGAGGUUCCCAGGCUAGGGGUCUAGUCGGAGCUGUUGCUGCCGGCCUACACCAGAGCCACAGCAACCUGGGAUCCCAGCCGCGACUGUGACCUACAUCAGAGCUCAUGGCAAAUCUGAAUCCUUAACCCAAUGAACAAGGCCAGGGAUCACACUUGAGCCUCAGGAGUGACAAUGCUGAGUCCUUAACCUGCUAGGCCACCAGGGAACUCCUCAUACACAUUUUUUUUUUUUUUAAAGGAGAGAAAGAUAUGGGUUUUCUAAACCAUCAAGUAACAUCCAAGUCUUGGGAACUUUACAAUUACAAUAAAAGGCUGAGAUCCUGCUGUUUAGCACUGGGAGCUAUAUCUAGUCACUUACGAUGGAGCAUGAUAAUGUGAGAAAAAAGAAUGUAUACAUGUAUAGUAACUGGGUCACCUUGCGGUACAGUAUAAAACUGACAGAACACUGUAAACCAGCUAUAAUGGAAAAAAUUUAAAAAAAUUUAAAAAGUAAAAAUAAAUAAAUAAAUAGGCAAUGCAAUUAUGAAUUUCUACAAUUCGAAUGAUAUGUGAGGAAGUCACUUCUUACUGGGCAAAUUACAUAAAGCUGUACCCAAGGCCUGAUUUGACUGCAGUGAGAGAAACAGUUCCUCAUUAUACCUUAGACAUAUAUAUAUUUCUGGUACAGCAAGCAGAAGUCUUAUACACCAAAGGUUUUCACUUCUUUAGAUCACAUUGCCUCUAGCUUUUUGAACUAGUCUAAAUUUUUUUCAGUGAUUUAAGAAUUACUGUUCCACUAAGUCAUUUGGAACUACUCAUAUGAUACUUUCUUUGAAGGUCAGCUUAAACUGGCCAUUUUCUAAUAUCACAUUAAUCUCUGCUAAAUUAUAAUGCAAUAAUGUCUUUAUUUGAGAACUAUAAUUUGAGCUGAUGUAUUCUCUAAUUGGGACAUAUGUCCCUAGAUUUAAUAAUUACAUAUUCUUUCCAAUCUAGUUUUAAUUUUGUACUUGGUAUGAAAUUUAUAUUCCAGGAGCAUGGAAAGCUCUUUCCUCCUAUUUUAGGUUUUGCUGGGUUUGGGGCAUUAUGCAUUGAAUUGCUCUCAGAACAUCCCAAUUGCUAAUCAUAAAGAGAUUAGGGAAUACUUCCUUAUCCUGAACAACCAAGCUCCCUCGUACACUAUUUCUCCUUUUGUUUGGACAUCUGCUAAUUUUAUAAUUAAUAAAAGAUAAAAAAUAAGCAAUGAGGUCCUACUGUAUAGCACAGAGAACUAUAUCCAAUCUCUUGAUGGAAGAUAAGAAAAGGAAUGUAUAUC